CCCAUGAAAUCGAAUGCAGAUCUUCCUGAUGUGAGAUUUACAUAAAUAUGUCAAAGUCUCAACCUCAUGCUGCCCUCCCCCAUCCUCCUAAACCUGUGGAUACAAAUGCAGAUUUCCUUAAUGUAAGUUGUGCAUUUUUAUUACAUCAUAUUAUUUUAAUAUUAUUUAUUUAUUUUAUUUUACAUUCAAAUAUCUCAAGCUUCUUAGUUUAAUAAGCUUGAUUGCUAGUAGAUAAAGAAUAGUUCACCUAUAAUUGAUAUUCCCAAUUAAUUUCUCACCUCUGAUUGAAUGGCUUUGUUUGUUUGCCUUUUUUGACCAUAACAAGACAUUUUUGCAGGAUAUAUAUGGUGAAUUUAUAUGCAUAGAUACAGUCAUAGUGCUUGACACAUGCACACAGCAGUAGAUGGACUAAAAAGGAAAUAAUUACAAUCAUGAUGUUGAUGGCUGAUGUCAGUAUAUAUAUUUUAGAGGAAUGUUUUGUUUUUCACCCAAAAUGAACUAUAUUGCUUCAGAAGAGAUUUAUUACCCUACCUGACUCUUAUAUAUUGUUCUGUUUUUUGUUUGUUUUUGUUAUUUUCAGGUUCAAUAGUGCGUGUUCUUCUAAUGGCCGCCUUCCCACUGGAGGUUUUGAUCCACAGCAAUUUAAAAGGAGGACAGAGCAAAACGGACGUCGGUGCAGAGCGAAGAACUGCCCUUCAUAAGGACACUUUGACAGCCAUAUAUAUGGCGGUAAGGAAGAGGUUUCCCAAUGUGUCCAGAAGGGCUUUGAGGAUUGGACUGAAUUCGAAGCUGGGGGAACUGAGACUGAUGGAAAAGAAAAGAAAUUACAUUUGAAGUAUGUUGACUUAUGUUCAUACAAUCACACACACAUAUAUACACAGACACACACACACACAUAUAUAUAUAUAUAUAUAUAUAUGUGUGUGUGUGUGUGUGUGUGUGUGUGUUUCUUUUAGAAUGUUUAAGUAUGUAAUGAGAAUAAAAUUAUAAAAUGAAUAUUCCUUGCUUGAUUGAUAUGCUAUAUGUAUGUUUUAAACAUCAAAUAAAGAUUUCUUUCAGCUGUUAC
Molecule: long non-coding RNA, 1066 nt
Filed under: Oreochromis niloticus (Nile tilapia)
Lineage: Eukaryota; Metazoa; Chordata; Actinopteri; Cichliformes; Cichlidae
Description: lncRNA (ENSONIG00000023919.2)
Source: RNAcentral